GGGGAAGUGCCGGAACUGGCAGACGGGCAUGACUUAGGAUCAUGUGCCCAAUGGGCGUGCGGGUUCGAGUCCCGCCUUCCCCACCA
Molecule: transfer RNA, 86 nt
Filed under: Chloroflexota bacterium
Lineage: Bacteria; Bacillati; Chloroflexota
Description: tRNA-Leu
Rfam family: tRNA
About the family: Transfer RNA (tRNA) molecules are approximately 80 nucleotides in length. Their secondary structure includes four short double-helical elements and three loops (D, anti-codon, and T loops).
Source: RNAcentral